UACCUUGGCCAGAGCAUAACCGAUUAUCUUCACCCAAGAGACCUACUGUUGGUCAAUCGUUUUGGUUUUAAAGAAGUUGCAUUGAUUCCAGAAAACCAGGAAAAGGUUGAGCCAUCUGUAGACUUCAGAGUUGAACCAGGUUUCUCCCUAGUAAUCCAGACUCCACUUCAGAGCCAAGAGUUUGAGUACAAGUAAGUGAUGUUAUUUGUGAUGUUUUUUGUCUUGGACGCUAUUGCUUCUAUUUAAGAUUAGGAAUCCUUUUAUCCAUAAUCUGUUUUUCUUUAGGGCACUUGACUUUCUGGAUAAAAGGUGUGGAGGUGUGUUGUACAUAUCAUUAGCUUUGCACAGUUCCAUUAUUGUUUCAUUACUGAAUAUGCAAUCUCUG
Molecule: long non-coding RNA, 385 nt
Organism: Esox lucius (northern pike)
Lineage: Eukaryota; Metazoa; Chordata; Actinopteri; Esociformes; Esocidae
Source: Ensembl